Molecule: long non-coding RNA, 2260 nt
Organism: Lycium ferocissimum
Lineage: Eukaryota; Viridiplantae; Streptophyta; Magnoliopsida; Solanales; Solanaceae
Exons: 3
Source: RefSeq, a predicted model, not a curated record
UAUGACAGCAGACGAAGAAGAAGUGACUCAUCUGCCAGGGACAAGCACAAAGAUCGAGAUUAUGACAGGGAACGGGAUCGCUACCGAAGAAGAGAUCGUAGCCCUAACAGGAGUGGCAGAGGAAUCCGUGAUUUCGAAAGGGGCUCAGAAUUGGAAACACCGGACUUCCAGAAAUGGGAGAAGCAGAAGCAGGGAGAGAUACCUGGAACGUGAUAGAAGCAGGUUACACUCUCCUAUUAGACUUGGUUCCAAGAGGUCAAGUUCGCAAGAAUUAUAACUGUGGCCAGCCACUGAAGAACAUUUUGCAAUCUCUCUUUUGGGGAGCAAAAUAUAAAAAACUCAAAUGAAGAAUGGAUGAUAUCGAUAACUUUACCUUAUCAAAAAAAAAAAAAAAAAAAAAAAAACACCCUGGAUGAUAUCGAUAAUGGCUUUUCAGCAUCUCCUUGGGAGUCCUUCAGCAAGAAUAACUGAGAUCAAGCAUGAAGUUGAGCAUCAUGUUCCUCCUCCGUUCCGCAGAGAGCAUGUAUUUGCGAAAAAAAUUGGCGUUCUGGAGUAGUUUUUGGCUAGAAAGCAUUUUGUGGAAGGAUUUCAAAGAACAUAAAGUUGACUUCAAUCUUCCACUGCGAUUGCCAAGGACGACGAAGGUAUUCCCGGAAUAUUGAUAAAAUUUGGACUUAUUGAAUUCUCCCUUACUCCCGUUGUAGCAGCAGCUGGCUUCAAGUACUGAUAAGACGUGUAUCCAUUUUCCCAAUAAGAAGAUUGUCUCUUCUUUUUUCGAGAGAUCUCACCUCUGCUUCCCUCUCAGUCUCGCUCUGUUUCCCCCCUGGUUAGCAUCUUUCUUCUUCUUCCUUUCGUCUCAAUUGUAGCCCUACUGUCUGUUUCAUCAGGAUUAUGCAGCUGACUGCUUAAACUUUCUAAUUGUGGAGUGCAUGUGUCUCUAUUCUUUGUUUGUUUAAUGCUCUUGGUUAUUGCUGAUGAGAUUUUGGUGGACAAUUGGAAGUACUUUUUCCGUUCUUAUGGAUAGUUCUUGUUGGAUACAUGCAUGUGCAUUUCUGUCUGAUUUACAGACUAGUGCAAAGAUGGUGCUUGGUACUUGGCUAAAAGGCUAUAACUACUGAAUGCUGCUGCUGCUACUACUACUACUUUUUUUAAUAAACAAUAUAUCUUCUGACAGGUGUUCUACAUCUUGCAAAUUGAGGUGCAAUUAAUGGAUUUCAUUAUUAUUUUUAAUAAGCUCGGUUGAUAUUGAGGUGCAAUUAAUGGAUUAAUGCUCUGUGCUUUAUCUGUGUUGACUUGGCUGAUUGAUGAUUGCAGGUAAAUGGGUUGAUUUUGGCUUUGAUGCGUAUCGGAUCAGAGUACAGCAUUUAGUUUGAAUGCUGGCUAGAGAACUCGCAGGAAUGUGAGAUUUUUACUUGUAGGAGAUUGAAGCUUUGACGAUCGUCCUCUCCUUUAAGACAAUUCCUCGAACAAUGGGGAUUGGAAUUUCACUGAUAUAUACCUUUCCACUCCCUGGCCACAUCUCGGUGAGCAACCGGAAAGUAUCUGUAUGGAGUGAAAUUUGGAAUUGAUGGGUGGACAAUCCAGGUGGUGACACGUGGCAAUAUGGACAGGUCAGGCGUGAGUCGGCAGAAGUAGUAUCUGGUCCACUUCACAUGCUUGGCCAGCGAGCAUCCUGAGCUAUCAGUAGCCGGAGUCAUGGCUCCGGAGAUGAGGAGCCGACCACAGGGGGUUGACCGGAUAAGAUAAGGCUGUUACGGAAGAUGCCAAGAAUACUGCCAACCGUUACUUAGCCUCAAUAAUGAGCACUUAAUGGAAUUUAUGAGGGCAUUACUUAUGGAUCUUGUUCCCUGAAAUUUAGCUAUAAGUGGCAUCUUACCUUGUUGAAGGGCAUUCAGAUUCUGGUUAGCUUUCAACGCAUGACACUUGUACUUUGUUAUUCUUGCUCGUUCACAAGCUUUAUUAUACCGUCGCAUAGUCCAACUCAGGAGCUCAGUCCGGCGGCCUUGCCAGCUUAUAACGUCGGAACUCAGGCUGCACUUGCUUGUUUAUCAAAUUACUCAAUUCUUGUUAUUUUGUUCUUUAAUCAUAUUACUGUGUUAUACUUCUUAUUCAUUCGCUUUGGUCAUCUCAAUUCGCGUGUCCAUAAAUCACGUGUACAAAUUCAACAGUACUGUUUUACAGGUAAAAAGUACGUAAGUGGCUUCUUGUCUCUUCAAUGGAACACGAUGUUCUUCAAUUUAACAUUUGUCCACUUGCGUGA